This 810-nucleotide ribosomal RNA is filed under the name Microbacterium sp. RNAcentral's name for it is "bacterial SSU rRNA". It matches the Rfam family "Bacterial small subunit ribosomal RNA", at positions 10 to 831 of the family's 1533-position model. The record is from RNAcentral. Lineage: Bacteria; Bacillati; Actinomycetota; Actinomycetes; Micrococcales; Microbacteriaceae.
AGUUUGAUCAUGGCUCAGGAUGAACGCUGGCGGCGUGCUUAACACAUGCAAGUCGAACGGUGAACACGGAGCUUGCUCUGUGGGAUCAGUGGCGAACGGGUGAGUAACACGUGAGCAACCUGCCCCUGACUCUGGGAUAAGCGCUGGAAACGGCGUCUAAUACUGGAUAUGUGACGUGACCGCAUGGUCUGCGUCUGGAAAGAAUUUCGGUUGGGGAUGGGCUCGCGGCCUAUCAGCUUGUUGGUGAGGUAAUGGCUCACCAAGGCGUCGACGGGUAGCCGGCCUGAGAGGGUGACCGGCCACACUGGGACUGAGACACGGCCCAGACUCCUACGGGAGGCAGCAGUGGGGAAUAUUGCACAAUGGGCGCAAGCCUGAUGCAGCAACGCCGCGUGAGGGACGACGGCCUUCGGGUUGUAAACCUCUUUUAGCAGGGAAGAAGCGAAAGUGACGGUACCUGCAGAAAAAGCGCCGGCUAACUACGUGCCAGCAGCCGCGGUAAUACGUAGGGCGCAAGCGUUAUCCGGAAUUAUUGGGCGUAAAGAGCUCGUAGGCGGUUUGUCGCGUCUGCUGUGAAAUCCGGAGGCUCAACCUCCGGCCUGCAGUGGGUACGGGCAGACUAGAGUGCGGUAGGGGAGAUUGGAAUUCCUGGUGUAGCGGUGGAAUGCGCAGAUAUCAGGAGGAACACCGAUGGCGAAGGCAGAUCUCUGGGCCGUAACUGACGCUGAGGAGCGAAAGGGUGGGGAGCAAACAGGCUUAGAUACCCUGGUAGUCCACCCCGUAAACGUUGGGAACUAGUUGUGGGGUCCA